CUUUUCCGCCGGAAAGAGAGUGGAUUUACUAGGAAGGUGGGACGUUGGAGGGGUGGCCGCAUGGAGUGAGUACUGUCUCUGGCCACCGAGCAGAGCCAGUGACAGCAGCGUCCUGGUAGGCAGGCAGGCGUAUCAGGUUUCAGAGGAUGCGGCUGGGAACGGGAGUAGAGGUGAGGGGUCGUUGCAUCUGUCGCGGUGUGUAUCUUUUGGGGGUUCAGCGCCACCAGCGACUUGGGCCUCAUUCAUCGCGCUUACAUUUCUCCACCUCAUUUGAAGAACGAGCUUCGUAGCCCACGGAGCUGAGGUUAGUAUAAAUGUGGAAGGGAGAAGUAUGCACUCACCAGACUAAAGUUUACAGUUUUCACAUAGGUUGUGCUGUUCUGUGUCCCAUAAGGGCCUGCGAGAACCCAGACAUUCUGAAUCGGUGACGCCUGCUGGAGGCAGCAACACCUGUUGCAUUAAUUUUAGAACACACACACACGGAGUUGGUAAUUCUUAAGCUUCCUGAAUCUGCUGGCGGUCAUUUGGUGUCAGAAGCAGAGCAAAGCCAUCUUGGUCAUCUCCCUCCUUUUAGCUUAAACCGAAGCAUGAUGGGGGAGAUAGGCCGAAAGUUAUACAGCUUGUUAAUAACAGAGCCGAGAGUGAAAGCGCGAUUUCUUCAUUUUUAGCCCGGAAUUAUUUGUUGUACACCAUACUGUUUCUUUGCAUUGCUAGACAAUUCGUCUUUUUUUACGAGGUUGACGGGGAGUUGCAAGGAGGAGUGAAAAGGGUGGUAAUGUACAUCUACAUACAGUAUAAAUCCAUGAAAGGCAAAAUCCGUGUGUGUUAGGAGUUAGAACUGUGUCAGUCAUCUACAUCUUCCAUAGUUUGUAGAUGGAGAUGAGUCUGUCACGUCGCUCUGUCAUUUCCCUUUUAGCAACAGAUGUGUAGUAACAAUAUGUGAAGAAGGAACUUUCAUUGCCUGUUACAUACAUUUACACAGAGCGGCCUGGGGUUCACUGAGCAAGCUAUGUGCUCACCCUAGAAAACUGAUUCUGUAGAGUGCACUGCAGUCAAACCUCAGCUGUUUUAAGUAAUCUUACAUUUGGUGCUUGUGUGGCUUAAGUGUCUUGUGCAUUAUUGCAGUCAUCUCUCUCAUGUUAUGAAAUGGAAAUGUGUUGUAGGAAAGUGGCAAGCCUGUGAAGAAAGUAAGUGAGCCUGAGGCCCAGAAAACCAUACAUUAGCAAAUACUGAAAAACUGUUCACAUCACAUAGGGGGUAUCUGAAGUACUGAGGAGCUCAUUUAACCGGAUGUUCAUUGUGGGGAAGCCAUGAAUAGCCUCCCUCUCCUGGGUUCAAGCGAUUUUCCUGCCUCAGCCUCCCGAGUAGCUGUGAUUACAGGUCCAUGCCACCAUGCUCGGCUAAUUUUUGUAUUUUUAGUAGAGACAGGGGUCUCACCAUGUUGGCCAGGCUGAUCUCGAACUCCUGACCUCAGGUGAUCCUCCCACCUUGGCCUCCCAAAGUGCUGGGAUUACAGGUGUGAGCCACCGUGCCUGGCUCCUAUAUAAACAAUUUUCAAACUUGUUGGUCUCAAGAGCCACUUAACAGUUAUUGAAGACUCCAAAGAGCUUUUGUUCAUAUGAAAAUAGUUUUGACUUCACUAACCCCCAGAAGGGCUUUCAGAAGCCCCCACAGAAACCAACUUUUAAGAACUACUUUAUGCAGAUGUUUCAAAGACAUUUUAGAUUAUGUAGAGGAAUGAUUGCUGUUGUGAUUGUGACAUAAGCAGAAGUAUCAACUUAAAAAUGCAACAACAAGCACAGUAGCUUGUAUUUCCAGUAGCUGUAUAAUUCCAGGCACAGAGAACACAAACAGAUGUCCAUUUUUAAUUCUUUUCUUGUUUUUUUUGAGACAGGACCUCACUGUCACCCAGGCUGGAGUGCAGUGGUGCAAUCACAGCUCACUGGCAGCCUCGACCUCCUGAGCUCAAGAGCUCCUCCACCUCAGCCUCCUGAGUAGCUGGGGCCACAGGUGUGUGCUACCACCCUGGCUAAUUAAAAAAAAAAAUGUUUUGUAGAGACAGUGUCUCUCUGUGUUGCUCAGACUGGUCUCAAACUCCUGAGCUCAAGCCAUCCUCCCACCUUGGCCUCCUGAAGUGUUGGAAUUACAGGCGUCAGCCACUGUGCCUGGCCUGUGAUAUUUUUCUAUGCUUGGAAAGUUUAUUAAUCAGCUAGGAUACUUCUCUACAAAAAUACACAUAUAUAACUUGAGAUUUAAACUUUUCUCAGCCAGCUGUGGUGGUUCACACCUGUAAUCUCAGCACUUUGGGAGGACAAGGUGGGUGGAUCACUUGCGCUCAGGAGUUUGAGACCAGCCUGGGGCAACAGGGCAAAACCCCAUCUCUACAAAACUGCACCCAGCUAUUUUGUAUUAUUUUUAUCUCGUUGCUUUUUUUUUUUUUCUUUUUCUUUCUUUCUUUUUUUUUUUUAGUGGUUUCAGGCAGUGGUUCAGACCAGCUGCUAGAGAAUCAUGGGCUAAGAAGAGAAGACUACCAAUUUAGUAGAUUUGGACAUGGACAAGCCACAGGCAGUUUCUCUUCUCACUCUCUUGGCCAGUCAUCUCUUGCUCACCUUCCCCUGCCAGUAGCCAGUAGCAUGUGACAGCCUCUAUAUUCCAUCUCCCUUUUCUCCCUCUUCCAGAACUAAGAUGAGUUUUCAAUGGAUAACUGUACAGAAACAUACCCACUGCUGAGUUUAUAAUAAAUAGGUAAAUGGUGUUUAAAAUGCCUUCUGUAGGAAUCCUUGGUAGAUAGUUAUAUGUGGUUGUUUUUUGGGAAGUUGGCUUGAGGUUCUUUGAAGGGCUGGGAACGUGUAUUUCUUUUGCGUGUGCCUGUGUGUGUCAAAAUUUUAUAUGUUCAUCAGUGCUCUACACGUUCAGAGAAACGUUUCCAAUAACGAACCAUAGAAUGAUCCCUGGAGCAUAGGAUCCCACUGUUUGAAAAUUCUAGCCAUCGAUCACUUUAUAAGAAAAGGAUGAAAUUUCAAACAAGGAGUUUGUUUAUCUGAUUUCCACCCUACAGAUAAUAUAUAAAUUUGGCCAAAGUUGUUUGGGGAAGAGGGGCUGUUGUUAGGUACUGAGCUAUAAUACUUUGUUGCUUUGUAUCACUUUUAAAAGUGACUUUUAAAGAUACUUGACAUUUGAAAAGGAAUCACCUUUGAUCUUUCUAAGUCCCUAAUUUGACAUUACCUUUAUAGCAUAUAAUUUAUUCCAUAAAGUCUUAGAUCCUGAAACUAGUGGAAAGCCAAAUACUCAUGUUGUGCUAUAAAUAUAGGAUUGACAGUUAAGCUUACUCAGUAGUCAAGGGGGCGGCUUUCACUCACCAGCCUCCAGGGCAUAUGAACCAAAUUUAUGAUUCAGAACAUUUAAAAUAUACAUUUUGAAGAUCUUUGGGCUCUCUUAAGUAUAGUCUAACUAUAAUAAAUAUUAAACAUGUCAAAGGUCUCUUGCAGUGUUGGGAAGAGCAUUCUAAACCACAUACAUCUUUCCCAUCCCCAGAUUGUUCUGUGUCCCCUCCCACUCUUCCCAGAUUAGAAGUCACCAUGGAGCACUAUUAGUAAUGGGACUCUGUAUCAGAUCUUUAAGGUGUAUUGGGACAGAAGAAAGGUUGAUAUUUUGGGGUUGUUUGUUUUUUUUGAGACGGAGUUUUCACUCUUGUUGCCCAGGCUGGAGUGCUAUGGCGUGAUCUUGGCUCACUACAAUCUCCGCCUCCCUGGUUCAAGCAAUUCUCCUGCCUCAGCCUCCUGAGUAGCUGGGAUUACAUGCGCCCACCACCAUGCCCGGCUAAUUUUUGUAUUUUUAGUAGAGACGGGGUUUCAUCAUGUUGGCUAGGCUGGUCUCGAACUCCUGACCUCAGGUGAUCUGCCUGUCUUGGCCUCCCAAAAUGUUGGGAUUACAGGUGUGAGCCACCAUGCCCAGCAGGUUCAUAUUUUUAAUGUUUCCUUCUACUCCCCAAGCACACACAAAUUUGAAAGCUGCUUUGCUUUCUAAUAAAGAGGCUUUUCCUUUGAUUUUGGAAGAUAAUUUGAUGUCUCUUUUCUCUUUGCAGGUAUAUGAGCUCCCUGAAAGCACAAAGCAGUUAUUUCCAUCUUCAGAUCAUUCAGAGAUUAUGAAGGCACAAACCCUGCCUUCAAUUUGCUUAUAGUCAAGUGGAGCAGACACAAGUCAAUGAUUGCAGUAUAGCCACUGAAGUAAUCUAAAAGAGGUGAGUGUGGCACUUAACCUCUCCUGGGAGGGGGAGGAAUAAGGCAGUGUUUCCAAGAGGUGAUUUUGGAGCUAUACAGGCAUUAGGUAGACAAGGAAGGGGAGGUCCAUUCUGGGUGCCUAGGACUCUGUGGCUGAUUUAUAAAUCGUAAAUGGUACAAAAAACAGUGUUGAGUAUCUUUUACCUUUCUCCAGAGUACUGUUCUUACUUUUGGAUAGUGCUUCUUGUUUUUUCCUUCCCUCUCCCUGUCCCUGUCACCUUUAAAUUAAAUGAAUGUUUGGAAGGAAGUAGGAGGGUAAGAAUCUUUCUGGGUGGCAGAAUAAUAGAUGGGUCUACCAAGAGCGAUGUAUAUACCCAGUAAAGCCAUCUCUAAAACUGUGUUUCUGCAUUGUUACAGUGCAUAGUUGGGAAAUCUCAGUUUUGUUGGCUGUGUACUUUCCCAGUGAAUGGAUUAUAUUCCUUUCUGCGAGCCAGUCUGUUUGAAUUUAAGGGCAUCUCUUAAAUUCCUUUCAAGCAAGAGACCUAACAUUUAUACUUAGGAAUGAGAGUAGUAGAGACAGCAAGAUUAGAAUCCAAGUUCAUAUACCAAAACAUUUUUAUUUGCUAUGUCUGAGUGACUACAUGUUGUUUGAAUCAACUGCAGGCUAAUUUGUAACAUUUCAAAUAAAUGAUAGUUUAAUUCCUCCAGGAUUUGAGUAAGGUGAAAAUAGAGCUAAAAACCAUGAUUCUGUCACAGUCUGGGAAAAUGAAAAAGCAAUCAAUUAGUGAGUUGGGCUUAAUUUUUUUUUUUUUUUUUUCUGGAACUGGUGAUAGCAGAAAACAAGCAGUAAAGUAGUCAGACAUGAUAUACUUGACAAGAACCACCACCUGUUCAGUAGCAACUCUAAAAUAAGUACUAACUUAGGGGCAGUUGUUGUGCCCAGGUCAUAGUCAUACUCCUUCCAGGAGACUUCCUGAUGACAGAAAAGAUGCUGACCAGCUGGGGUCUUCUUUCCAAAUAACUUUUCUCUUGCAUUUAGAUUAAUUAACCAUUGGUUACAGUGAAACAAGCAUAUGUACAGAGUUAAUCUCCUAUAGCUUGAAGUUAUACAUGAUCUUUAUUUGAGUAUCUUGACUUGUUAAAGGACAGUGUUUUAAAAGCUGGAUUUGGUUAUGUUCUUCUGGAGACUAAGAAAAUAGAGUCCUUGAAAUCAAGCUGACUCUGCUUUUAGCCUCCUAAAUGAAAAGGUAGAUAGAACAGGUCUUGUUUGCAAAAUAAAUUCAAGACCUACUUAUCUACCAACAGCAAUUACACGCUUUCCAUUGUCUUCCUAUAGAAAAUAGGAGUAGUACACUUAUAGAUGAGAAAACUGGAGAAAGACAUAGUGAACAUGUGAGAAUCUUGCUCUACUAAUUGAUAGGAAGGUGACUAGAAAUUGGCGAAGUUUUCUUGGUAAGUUGAGGAGAGGACUUUUCUUAUAGUGCAGUCUGGUAGCUGAACCGCCUUGCAUCAAGACCAAUGUAGUCUUAUUUACAGAAUGCCACAUCACAGUGAAUUGUGCUGUGGACAGCUUCCAGUGUGUGAGUUGUGGAAGAUGAUGAUUUUAACAGAUUUUGGAGGAUGAGAAGUAUUAAGAAGAAGGCCCCACUGUCCAUGCAUUUGCUCUGCUUUUUACUUUUGACCAAGUAUACACUUCAGAAAUAUCUUAUUGGAUGUAUACAAAGUGAUUGUGUGUCAUUUGAACCAGCAGGAAGUAAUUUAUUAAACACACUUUUCUAAAUAAAAGUCAUUUAAUUUUAUCAGAAAUCAGUGUCAUUUUAGAUUGCAAGUCUCAAACCAACUUUCCAAUUCUGACUUGUAAGGGUGCCUUAAAUCCUGAAUACUGUACUCUGUAUUACUAAACCCAUGUUAGUUUACGCCAAGAUUCUGUGGUGGUUUUACAUAUUCUUUUUCCCCUUUGUUAAGGUGGGGAGGCCACAGCUUAUGUGAAUGACUUUCUCAGGAGUUAUAAAGUGAUACAGGUAAAGCUAAGAAAAGAACAGAUUUUGAUAACUUUUGUUUUAACUGUCCAGUGUUAGGGAUUGUGGCUACAGUGGUCUAAUUUUUAAAAACUCUUUUUUUUGCUUUGUUUUUUAACAGACUUAUCAGCAGGUUGCAGGUGAACAUGGCCUUGAGGUAAAUCUGUCCCUUGCUGAAUACAGUUUCAGUAGAUUGUUUAUAGUAGUUUCAGGAAUUGAGAUUUUUUACAAAAAUACAAAAGUUUUGCUUGGUUCUGUUCUAGAUGUUUUCUUCUAAAUAAAUGAGAAAGAUGUUUCAACAAAGGCUCUUUAUGCUGAAUAAUUGUGAUGCUUGAAGUUGCUAAUCUGCUUUAAGUGGAUUUUAAAUGUCAGGCAAUUCUAGACAGUUUUUUCUUGGUCAAAUAAAAAUUUAAUUAAAACUUUAUACGUGUUGAGUUUUUAAUCCAUUUAUCCGUGUUCAUACUAACGUGUAGUAUUCCAUAAAGCCUAUUAGAACCCUGAAUUCAAACUUGCCUUCUCUGUGAUAUCCUGUUUCUUACUUGGUAGUUUCUAUUUCAGUAGCUGAGAACUUUUUUUUUUUUUUUUUUUGAGAUGGAGUCUUGAUCUGUGAGCCAUCUCGGCUCACUGCAAGCUCCACCUCCCGGGUUCACGCCAUUCUCCUGCCUCAGCCUCCCGAGUAGCUGGGACUACAGGCGCCCGCCACCAGUCCCGGCUAAUUUUUUUGUAUUUUUAGUAGAGACGGGGUUUCACCGUAUUAGCCAGGAUGGUCUCGAUCUCCUGACCUUGUGAUCCAUCCACCUUGGCCCCCCAAAGUGCUGGGAUUACAGGCGUGAGCCACCGCGCCCGGCCGAGAACAUUUUUAAAUAUACAUGAUAUGUAUCUUUUAAUUGUUUAUAACUGGAACUAUUUCUGUGCUUACAUCUGCUGUCCCUUGUUUCAGAGUAGACAGUCCAGCU
This is a long non-coding RNA of Homo sapiens (human), 7194 nucleotides long. Ensembl annotates it as small nucleolar RNA host gene 21. Its record names the gene SNHG21. NCBI's taxonomy places the organism in Eukaryota, Metazoa, Chordata, Mammalia, Primates, Hominidae. The record is from Ensembl.